AUUCUUUAUAAAUUACCCAGACCAUGGUGUUCUAUUACAGCAGCACAAAUGGAGUGGCACGGCCUAGUAAGUCUAUUAUCUUUAUUGGUACUGUUGACUAAAAGGGUAUCUUGAAUCCUGGUCUCUUCUUCCCUCCUUUUCCACAAAGAAAAGCCCUGUGACCCCACACAUUACCGUCAGCUCUGCACCACCCCUUGCACGAGCCCUGACUCAGGUUAGGUCUCUCAGUCAUCUUUGCUACUUGUCCAACCCUUUCUUUCUUGAGGCUCGGGCCCUACCUCGUGCCUGUUAAGAACUGUGAAGAGCCUGAUAUUAUUUAUUUAUUUAUUUAUUUAUUUGAGACAGAAUUGUGCUCUUGUUGCCUAGGCUAGAGUUCAAUGGUGCAAUCUUGGCUCACCGCAACCUCUGCCUCCUGGAUACAAGCGAUUCUCCUGCCUCAGCCUCUCAAGUAGCUGGGAUUACAGGCAUGUGCCACCACACCCAGCUAAUUUUGUAUUUUUUUUUUUUUAGUAGACACGAGGUUUCUCCAUGUUGGUCAGGCUGGUCCUUGAACUCCCGACCUCAGGUGAUCUGCCCACCUUGGCCUCCCAAAGUCCUGGGAUUACAGGAUAAAGAUGGAAAUAGAAAAAUGAACAGAAAAUUGGUGGUGAGAAAGGAUGCUUAAGCUGGUGAGACAACUGAUAAAAAUUUCUGCUGAAAGGUU
Molecule: long non-coding RNA, 703 nt
Filed under: Callithrix jacchus (white-tufted-ear marmoset)
Lineage: Eukaryota; Metazoa; Chordata; Mammalia; Primates; Cebidae
Description: lncRNA (ENSCJAG00000085838.1)
Source: RNAcentral